Molecule: ribosomal RNA, 400 nt
Filed under: uncultured bacterium
Lineage: Bacteria
Description: bacterial SSU rRNA
Rfam family: Bacterial small subunit ribosomal RNA
Source: RNAcentral
UCGAGAAUCUUCGGCAAUGGGCGAAAGCCUGACCGAGCGACGCCGCAUGCGGGACGAAGACCUUAGGGUUGUAAACCGCUUUUCUCAAGGAGGAACUUUUGUGACUGUACUUGAGGAAUAAGGGGUGGCUAACUCUGUGCCAGCAGCAGCGGUAAUACAGAGACCCCGAGCGUUAUCCGGAUUCAUUGGGCGUAAAGAGUCUUAAGGCGGUUUAGUAAGUCUUUGAUCAAAGUUCUAGGGCUUAACCUUAGAAACGUUAGAGAUACUACUAGACUAGAGAAAGUCAGAGGUUAGCGGAACGUACGGUGUAGGGGUGAAAUCCGUUGAUAUCGUGCGGAACACCAAAAGCGAAGGCAGCUAACUGGGGCUUUUCUGACGCUGAUUGACGAAAGCGUGGGGA